GCUGCAGGAAUUCCCAAUACUAUCGAUACGGGUUGUGGGAGCAAGAGCCCGGAGAUGGAUUCUGAGACACGAAUCCAGGCCCUACGGGGCGCAGCAGGCGCGAAAACUUUACAAUGCAGGAAACUGUGAUAAGGGAACCCCGAGUGCCCGUAUGGACGGGCUGUUCAGGUGCUUAAAAACCACCUGGAGAAAGGGCCGGGCAAGACCGGUGCCAGCCGCCGCGGUAAUACCGGCGGCUCGAGUGGUGGCCACUAUUACUGGGCUUAAAGCGUCCGUAGCUUGGUCGUUAAGCCUCUGGGGAAAUCUUCCGGCUCAACCGGAAGGCGUCUCAGGGGAACUGGCGACCUAGGGAUCGGGAGAGGUGAGAGGUACUCUGGGGGUAGGAGUGAAAUCCUGUAAUCCUCAGGGGACCACCUGUGGCGAAGGCGUCUCACCAGAACGACUCCGACAGUGAGGGACGAAAGCUGGGGGAGCAAACCGGAUUAGAUACCCGGGUAGUCCCAGCCGUAAA
Molecule: ribosomal RNA, 511 nt
Filed under: uncultured Methanofollis sp.
Lineage: Archaea; Methanobacteriati; Methanobacteriota; Methanomicrobia; Methanomicrobiales; Methanomicrobiaceae
Description: bacterial SSU rRNA
Rfam family: Archaeal small subunit ribosomal RNA
Source: RNAcentral